RNAcentral lists this long non-coding RNA (3335 nucleotides) under Podarcis lilfordi (Lilford's wall lizard). Lineage: Eukaryota; Metazoa; Chordata; Lepidosauria; Squamata; Lacertidae. The record is from RNAcentral.
UAGAUUAUUUUUGUUCUGCCAAAUGUUGCUGGUUAAAGAAUUGUCAGCUGGAGUGACAAGCCAGUUUGGGUACAGAGUUUGGAUUUAAUCUUAAAUCCAGAAACUAAUGGACUUCUCCCAAGAUGCACUACAUUGAAUGAUUCAUUGAAACAGGACAGAUAUCUACUCUCUUCACUUUUUUCUUUUUCUUUUCUUGCAGUAUAUUCCUAUAUGUUGUAGGAAGUGAGCCCAGGCCUUGGGAAUACAAUCCUCUCUAAAAUUACAUCACUUGUAAGCAAAACAUCCAAAUACACAUGGGUUUGAUUUUCUCGGUUUCUGUGAAAGUGUUUCACCCACUUAGAGGAGGGGAAAGGCUAAUAGAAGCCUGAAUAAGGUGUUAAAUUGUCCAUUCAGCCGCCCAACUCCCAAUUUGCACCUGUGAGGACACACGGAUGCUCCUGAGACACAUUUUCUCCUUCGCUUUUGUGGCAGAAGAUGCAUCUAGUCACGUGCUUCAGUUAGGUUGCUUAAUGUUCUUGCUGUUGUUUUAAUAUGAUCCGUAAGGCCAGUUGGAUGGGGGGGGGGGGAACCAGGUCAUAAGAAGUAUUGUGAGUGCUGAGGGUUUUGUGCAGUCUUGGCAACUGUUGCUAAGGGAACUGGAAUGCUGGGAGACUAACAGGUGGGGGCAGUGAAGGAGAGGAACAACAUUCAGCCAUGGAGAGGGGCACCACUGUGGUGAGUUUGUGGCGGCAAUGACAGAUUAUGCUCAAGUUCUUGGAGAGGCUGCAGUGAAGACUGAAGAGAACAGUGAUGUGAGAGAUAAAGGUUGUUGGAGGCUGGAGAUCAAGCAGCCUGCAACCACCAAGGAGCAGUGUGGAAGCAUCACUUCCCAAGACCAUCCAGGCAACUCCAUUGUAUCCAAAGGCAAAUAGGAGGUGCUGCUAAUGUCCUCCCACUCCUAGAGAAGAAAUGGUGGGGCUGCCCUCUGGGGUCUCCUGGGAGCUGCACCCACCUGGUGUAAUUUGAGUGUGCCCCUUCCCUCCAGUGAUAACCUUUGAUUUCAACUUCAACAGUCAAGUAACUUUGAUUUGACCCCUCCUCCCCCUUAUUCCCAGUGUAGAUUUUCACUUGCCCUUUCUUACCUUGUGUUAAACGUUUGGAAAAAGUCAGAAGCCCAAGGCAGUAUAAGUUCCUCAACUAAGUUUAUUCAACAUUUGUCAGUGACAACAGCUCACUCAUAGGAACACAAGAACCAAACUGACUGGACAACACAAUAAUAAACCCGAGCAUGAACUGACCGUUGACAGUUGAAAGUACAUGCGCAUACUUGCCAUUAGAACGUUCGUCUACCAAUGCAUAUACGAUUAGUUAGAACGUGUCUUGUAACAUAAAAUGUCUUAAACCCAAUACAUAACACUACUCCCCCCAACUCCCUAACAAAAGGAACAAACAUAGUCAUCAAGGUGUGCCAGCCUUUUCCACUCCCACUUGGACUGUCGCUGUUCCUGUGCCCGAGUGGGUGAAACAGGAGGUUCCUCCAGUACCCGCGGUCUGAGUGGGGCGAUCUGCGAGGCCAGCUCUGAAGGGGUCACUGCCAAUGGAGCCGCUGAGGAUUCUGGCCUGAAGUCACCCUGCUGGGGUAACUUAGUCACCAGCAACCCAUCUGGUUCCCACCCUGGCCUGAGCACAGAAUCUCCUGAAGUACCCAUUUCUCUGUCCUCUGGUUCCGCUUGAAGUUCCGUGUUCAGAGGUGCCCUGGCUCUGAUCUGGUUGAGGUGUCUCUUCCAAACCAGUCCCCCCUCCAACCCUACCUUGUAGGAAACCAGACCUGUACAGUGGGCAAUGAUACCAGGGACCCAACCCUGUCCGGGCCCAUCGUUUCAGAUGUACACAGUGUCCCCCGGGGAGAUCCCUCUUGGAGCCCCCCACACCACAGUGGAUGGCCGUUGCUCAAGAGCCUGGUCAGGGUGCAUACGAUCAAGGAGGGUAGUGAGCCUCCUCCCCAUAAGUAACUCCUCCAGGCUGGUCACUGCGCUUGGGGUGAUGUGUUGGGCCAAUAAGAACUCCGCUAGCCGGAGAGUCCAAUCUCCAUGCACUAUGCGCCUAAGCGCAUCAUUGGUAGUAAGGAUCAUGCGUUUAGCUUGGCCGUUAGUGGCUGGGUGAAAAGGAGCGGAAUGAAUGUGGCAGAUUCCAUUCUUGGUUACAAAUUCUUUGAAUUCCGCCGAAGUAAAAGCUGUCCCAUUAUCACUCACCAGUGUGUCUGGCAAGCUGUGUGCUGCGAAUAGCUUCCUGAGCACGUUUGUAGUCACUCUAGCGGACACAGUUGAGGUCGGCACCACCUCGAGCCACUUGGACUGAGAGUCAACCACUAUUAGGAAGUGUUGGCUGUGAAAAGACCCUGUGAAAUCCACGUGCACCCGGGACCAUGGGGAGUGAGUGGACUCCCAGGACUGUACUGGUACGUUGGGUGGAUCCAGCCAGGAGAUGUGGCAGGGCUCACAACAUUUCACCCAGCCCUCUAUCUCUGCAUCUAUGCCUGGCCACUACAAAUCGCUACGGGCCAAUUCCUUCAUCCAGACGAUCCCCAGGUGAGACAUGUGCAGCCCUUAUAAGACUUUUUUUCUUAAUCGGGGGGGGGGGGAGAGAGACUAUAACAUGGCUACCCCAUAACACGCAUCCUCGGUGAGUAGACAGCUCAUCCUUGCGGGCUGUGUAGCAUGAAAAUUCUGGACCCGGCUUCCCGGGCCACUCCCUCCCCACCCAGACCAAGAUGCGCGACAACAGCCUAUCCUUCGCGGUGGCGGCAGCAAUGUCCUUCGCAUGCAAGGGCUAGUCCGGUAAGUCUUCCAGUCGCAGGAUCUGUAGGGCAGGAGCUGGGUAAGGGCCACUCUCCGACAGCGGCAAGCAGCUGAGUACAUCUGCAUGACCCAUGGCUUUCCUGGGUCGGUGCUGUAGCCAGUAUUGGUAACCAGCCAGGAAAAUGGACCAGCACGAUACUCGUGGUGAAAGCAUCUGGGGCGUCUGGCGGUCGGGUACAAAGAGUCCCAGGAGUAGCUUAUGGUCGGUAAUGAUAGUGAAAGGCCGGCCAUAAAGGAAGUCGUGAAACUUUUUGACUCCCUUAACUAUUGCCAAACCCUCCUUGUUGAUCUGGGAGUAGUUGUGCUCCGCCGACGUGAGAUUUUGGCAGAAGUAAGCCACUGGAACUUCCCUCCCGUCCGGAAGCUGGUGGCCCAGUACUGCGCCCACUCCAUAAGGGGAAGCGUCGCAAGCCAGCACCACUGGAAGCUUUUCAUCGAAGUGUGGCCAACACUGUGUUGGACACAAGCAAGUCUUUGACCCCUUGGAAUGCCUUGACC